RNAcentral lists this ribosomal RNA (253 nucleotides) under uncultured bacterium. RNAcentral describes it as "partial 16S ribosomal RNA". It matches the Rfam family "Bacterial small subunit ribosomal RNA", at positions 524 to 776 of the family's 1533-position model. The record is from RNAcentral.
UACAGAGGUCUCGAGCGUUAGGCGGAAUCACUGGGCUUAAAGCGUGUGUAGGCGGAUCGGUAAGUACCUUGUGAAAUCCCACAGCUUAACUGUGGAACUGCUUGGUAUACUGCCGGUCUUGAGCCAGCUAGGGGCUACCGGAACAAAUGGUGGAGCGGUGAAAUGCGUAGAUAUCAAGAGGAACACCUGAGGUGAAGACGGGUUGCUGGGCUGACACUGACGCUGAGGCGCGAAAGCUAGGGUAGCAAACGGG